This 993-nucleotide ribosomal RNA is filed under the name Triticum aestivum (bread wheat). RNAcentral's name for it is "partial small subunit ribosomal RNA". The record is from RNAcentral. Lineage: Eukaryota; Viridiplantae; Streptophyta; Magnoliopsida; Poales; Poaceae.
AUGGGGGACGCGUCCACCUCCGCCGCUCCCGCCACGCCCACCUCCACGCUCAUCUGCCUCGAGGACGGCAACGACCUCUUCCUCGACGACGAUAGCCCCGACGGCGGCUUGGCGGACUCGCGCCUCGCCGCCGACGACGGUCUCCUGCUCCUCGACCGCGACGACGAGUACGUCGCGCUCAUGCUCUCCAAGGAGGGCGCCGGCGGCGGCGGCACGUGGGGUGAGGAGCUGGACGAGUGGACCAAGGCCGCGCGCGCCGUGUGCGUCGACUGGAUUGUCAAGACGAACGCGAGGUUCCUCUUCAGCGGGAAGACGGCGUACGUGGCGGUGACGUACCUCGAUCGGUUCUUGGCGCAGCGGCGAGUCGAUAGGGGGAAGGAGUGGGCUCUGCAGCUCCUCUCGGUGGCGUGCCUGUCGCUGGCGGCCAAGGUGGAGGAGCACCGGGUGCCGCGGCUGCCGGAGUUCCGGCCGGACGAGUACGACUUCGACAGCGCCUCCAUCCUGCGCAUGGAGCUCCUCGUCCUCGGCACCCUCAAGUGGCAGAUGAUCGCCGGCACCCCGUUCCCGUACCUGAGCUGCUUCGUGGCCAGGUUCCGGCACGACGAGCGCAAGGCCAUCGUCCUGCGCGCCGUCAAGUGCAUCUUCGCCUCCAUCAAAGCGAUGAGCUCGGUGGAGUACCAGCCGUCGACCAUGGCGCUGGCGUCCAUCCUGGUCGCGCGCGGCGGCAGGGAGGGGACGGGGACGGCCCCGAACCUAGAGGAGGAGCUCAAGGCGAUCCUGGGCUCAUCAUGGCAGCAAUUACACACCGGGCAUGUGUAUUCCUGCUACAGCGUGAUGAUUCAGGAGGAGGACAGGUCCACGCAGUCGGGCAGGGAGGUGGCUUCCUCCGGCGUCUCUGCCGCCGCCCCCGCCGGGAGCCCGGGCACCUCCGUCGCCAUGGCCAUGGUCCGUGGAGGGGUGGUUGAACAGGACCCCGUGGAGAGGGCUGGUUGA